GUCUCCGAGCUCUAGGGUCCGGAGCUCUAGGGUCCUUUUAUGUAGCAAAGUCAGGCCUGGGAACAGAACUUCAUGUGCUUGUAAAAAGUCUCAGGUGCGUCCUCGUUGUUUUAGAGACUUGGAGAGGAAUGGGGGCGGGGGGAACAAAAUCCGAGGACAGUCGAGCCAAGAAAAGUCGGGGCUUCUAGGAUGCCAACCACGCCAAACAGAUCAAAACCAGGACUGGAGGACUGAAGAUGAAGCCGGCAAAAAGUCACCAGCCACGGCUCUUGUAAGGUAUGCUUCACCUCUCCUGCUAAGUCUUCAUCCCUGUCUAUGAGGACAAAGAAGUUACGGGUUAAAUUGGCGAUGGGCCAGGCGCUCCUUGAGGAUGCUCUAAAGUUGGUGAUAGAAAAUGGGAGAACUGAAGACAACCACUUUAUAAAACCCUUGCCUGCUUGAAUUUGUGGUGAUGAACCGGCCCCUGGGAUUUGCUGCUCAGAACCUGAGUUCACUGAGACAUCAGGAGCAAGCACUGGAGGCCGGGUGCUGCUGGAUCCUGAUGGGAGCCAUGCAGGACUUGACCAUGGCCUGCACACACUUCUUCCCAGGAGAAGGGGAAUGAGGAAGGACUGGCCCCUGGGAUUUGCUGCUCAGUUCACUGAGACAUCAGGAGCAAGCACUGGAGGCCGGUGCUGCUGGACCCAGAUGGGAGCCAUGCAGGACUUGACCAUGGCCUGCAUACACUUCUUCCCAGGAGAAGGGGAAUGAGGAAGAACUGGACGAUGAAUUUUAACCUCCACACCACAAGCACUGGGGUAGAAGACUGCUGCUGGGUGAAGAAGAGACUAGACUUGAUCAUUGAGCAGCCACUCACUGAUAUCUUCAGUGCUGCAUGAGGAAGGACUGGCCCCUGGGAUUUUCUGCUCAGGACCCGAGUUCACUGAGACAUCAGGAGCAAGCACUGGAGGCCGGUGCUGCUGGACCCAGAUGGGCGCCAUGCAGGACUUGACCAUGGCCUGCACACACUUCUUCCCAGGAGAAGGGGAAUGAGGAAAGUGGGGGGCCUCAAAGCUUCCUUUCCUUUCUGUUUGUCUUGCUAUGUUUUUAUAUUCCUUUUUAUCCAUUUAAUUAUUUAGUACAAAAUCAGGUCCAGUCUCCUUAGAUAUGGCAUUGAUAUAAAGUGUAAAAUGGAAGCUAAAUUCUAGGAGUACAGCAUUGCAUGCUUCUGACAGAGACAAGGAAGGCUAGAAUCACACAGUUAGUGGACACUGCAACUAUAUUGACAUUUUUUUUUUUUUUAGACUGUGAAGGUGGGGACAGAUUGCUGCACUCAGAACACCUUCCCUGCUCUGGGGAAACAAACACUGUCAUCAUGGGGAAAAUGUUUCCUGUAGACCCACACAAGCACACACCCCUCCUCCUACAUCCAGCUUCUCNUCAGCCAUUUUGAAGCAGGGAAGAUCAGGGGGAUUCAUGAAUGGCGAAAUUUGGCCUUUUUUAGUGUAUUUCUCUCCUUCUGUAGGCAGACUGGCAUCACCUGACCCUUCAGAGUAUUAACUCAGACCCUGGUGACUGAGGUCCAGUACCAAGUGCUCAGCUGGGCUGCGGUGCAGGGACAGGAAGCAGAAGGGCAGAUUCAACCCCCCUCAGCUGGCCAUGCUAAUCUACUAGCUGGUGUCCUAGGGCAGCAAGGCGCCUCCCUCUCCAGGAUCUGAUGAGAAAACACUGCAGUUCCAGUUUCUUUCGGGGCUUGAAGAGAAGUCAAGGAAGCCCUGCAAGGCACUCACAGCUGAUCAUGCUUUCUGUAAUCGCCCUCCAUCUUCCUUCAUUGCUAGGAAUCAUUGGAAGGACAACAGCGGAGCUGUGAGUUUUGAAACCGCGUCCUCAUGGGGGCAGUAGAGGUCCACACAAGAGCUUAACUGGCCCCUGGGAUUUGCUGCUCAGAACCUGAGUUCACUGAGACAUCAGGAGCAAGUACUGGAGGCCGGUGCUGCUGGACCCAGAUGGGAGCCAUGCGGGACUUGACCAUGGCCUGCACACACUUCUUCCCAGGAGAAGGGGAGUGAGGAAGAACCGGCCCCUGGGAUUUGCUGCUCAGGACCCGAGUUCACUGAGACAUCAGGAGCAAGCACUGGAGGCCGGGUGCUGCUGGACCCAGAUGGGAGCCAUGCAGGACUUGACCAUGGCCUGCACACACUUCUCUUCAGCAACCCUUAUUUUUCUUGCCUGUACAUCUCUACUGUGGGAAUCACAGGGAAGCUGCUGCAGCACAACUUGAAAUAGAAAGCUGGAUGGUAUGAAUUUAGGACAAGAACAUGAGAAGAAGGGCUCCAGAGAGGAUUCAUUAAGAGCAUUUUCUGCUCUUCCAGAAGCAUCCGAGUUUGGUGUGGGCACCCAAGUCAUUAGGCUCAGAGCUGCUUGGUCUGGAUCCCCUAGGGUUGCCACCAGGAUCACCAGAAAGUUUGUUAAAUAGAGAAGCACUUGAUAGAAGGCACCUGGAUAAGGAUGGACAGAAAUCAGAGGCCUUGGCUAUCUGGAUUCUGACUUCUUCAAAAAGAUGAGAUGAUAGAUGAGAAAAGCCCGUCCGUGGUGUUAGAGACUUUGGCCCCACACCCAUGCCGUGCAGCUCUGCCAGGGCCUACCUGCUUGACUCAACCCUUUUUGUUCCCUCACCCUCUCUGGGUAACUGAGAGAUUUAUACCUUGGCUAUCCUGGGAAUGUCUUUCUAAACUAAUAAAAU
Molecule: small RNA, 2722 nt
Filed under: Mus musculus (house mouse)
Lineage: Eukaryota; Metazoa; Chordata; Mammalia; Rodentia; Muridae
Description: mFirre1.49
Source: RNAcentral